RNAcentral lists this ribosomal RNA (497 nucleotides) under uncultured bacterium. RNAcentral's name for it is "partial 16S ribosomal RNA". It matches the Rfam family "Bacterial small subunit ribosomal RNA", at positions 28 to 507 of the family's 1533-position model. The record is from RNAcentral.
GAUGAACGCUGGCGGCGUGCCUAAUACAUGCAAGUCGAGCGAACAGACGAGGAGCUUGCUCCUCUGACGUUAGCGGCGGAAGGGUGAGUAAAACGUGGAUAACCUACCUAUAAGACUGGGAUAACUUCGGGAAACCGGAGCUAAUACCGGAUAACAUGUUGAACCGCAUGGUUCAACAGUGAAAGACGGUCUUGCUGUCACUUAUAGAUGGAUCCGCGCCGCAUUAGCUAGUUGGUAAGGUAACGGCUUACCAAGGCAACGAUGCGUAGCCGACCUGAGAGGGUGAUCGGCCACACUGGAACUGAGACACGGUCCAGACUCCUACGGGAGGCAGCAGUAGGGAAUCUUCCGCAAUGGGCGAAAGCCUGACGGAGCAACGCCGCGUGAGUGAAGAAGGUCUUCGGAUCGUAAAACUCUGUUAUUAGGGAAGAACAAAUGUGUAAGUAACUAUGCACGUCUUGACGGUACCUAAUCAGAAAGCCACGGCUAACUACGUG